Molecule: non-coding RNA, 21 nt
Filed under: Caenorhabditis elegans
Lineage: Eukaryota; Metazoa; Nematoda; Chromadorea; Rhabditida; Rhabditidae
Source: RNAcentral
UCUAACUUGCAAUGCCUCGAG